UAACACGUAGGAAACCUAACCUCAAAGAACGAGGAUAACUACUGGAAACGGUAGCUAAAACUGGAUAGGAUAUACGAAGGCAUCUUUGUAUAUUUAAAAGUCCUUCUGGGAAUGCUAUGAGAUGGUCCUGCGGCGCAUUAGCUAGUUGGUGAGGUAAAGGCCCACCAAGGCGACGAUGCGUAGCUGUGCUGAGAGGCAAAACAGCCACACUGGGACUGAGACACGGCCCAG
RNAcentral lists this ribosomal RNA (231 nucleotides) under uncultured bacterium. RNAcentral's name for it is "partial 16S ribosomal RNA". It matches the Rfam family "Bacterial small subunit ribosomal RNA", at positions 111 to 334 of the family's 1533-position model. The record is from RNAcentral.